Penaeus chinensis is the source of this 959-nucleotide long non-coding RNA. RefSeq lists it as uncharacterized. NCBI's taxonomy places the organism in Eukaryota, Metazoa, Arthropoda, Malacostraca, Decapoda, Penaeidae. The transcript is spliced from 3 exons. The record is from RefSeq and is a predicted model, not a curated record.
GGAGUAUGACGAGGCGGUCGUGUUAUAGCGAGGUAGUUAAGGGCGGCCGAGUGACACCGCACGCCGCGACCUUCAAUGAGAGGCGUAUGUGGAGACACGCGAGUACACAGGAGAGUGUUGAAUUUUGCAGUACAGAAUCCUUGGGUCUCCACAAUACAAUAACAUUCUAAGUACAAUGUUAAGUAUGAUUUAUUUCAUGGUAUUUGUAUGUAUGCAAACAUUAUUAACACAAAAAUAUAUUUCUAUGAAAAAAUACAUUAAAAAAAACAAUAAUAGAGAAGGCAAGAAUAGAAAAUUAUAUUUAUUCAUAUUUUACAGAUUCACAAUGGGGGGGGAAACACAUUUUCAUGCUAGCAAAAUUCUUGAGAGAUUAGUGCCAUUGCUUCAAAAACUUUUUGGUAGAACUUUGUCUUGAGGUGUGGAUGGCUCUCAUUUAGAAUCCUCACAAAACCUUUCAUGGAUUCUAAUAUAGGAUCCGUGGGUGCACUUAAUUCCUUCAGAUCUUUCCACUCAUUAUGCACAUUAGCUAGUUCUCUCCUCAACUGCUCCUCGAUAUCUGAAAUGUUGCUAGUCCUGUGUUUCCUCUUCUUACUGGGUUUUGAUGAAGUUGGACAAACAUGUGAGCUGUUUCUUGGUGGUGGCGUACUAGAGUCAUCUGACGUCGAGGAUGUAGGGUCUGUUGGCACGGGAAGUCGUGUCUCAACGUACGUCGUGUCAAGCUCCAGAGGGUCAAUUUCUUCUUCUUGCGCAUUAACUGCAGGAUCAUCAAUUAAAUCACUGAUAGAACCAGCCCAUACCAAAUCCUUCAAAGGUCUUGGAGAAACCUGCAAUUAUUAAGAAUUAAGGGCUGUACCACAUGUAUACACAGGGAGUAGAAAUGAGCAUGCCUUGAAGAACUCCCAUUUACUUGUGCAUCUUCCGCCAGGCCCCUCCGAAGUAUUUCUUAUUCUCCGCAGCUG